UAAAGACCCAACAUUAAAAAAAGAGACCGCCUUUCUGUGGUUUGGGAACAGCAUCUUGAUGUGAAAUAAUCUUGAAGAUGAGGUCCAAUGUUUUCUUUUGACAUAGGUUAACAAUGCAACAAGUUGCUGUUGUGGAGGGAGACAAGAAAAGCAGGUGUUGUCUGAACUCACGAGAAGAUGCUUGCUCUGAAGAGUUUACAAUCUACUAACACACGCAGCCUUGGAAAUGAGAGACAGUGGGACACAACAAAGCAUAACAGAAGAGGUGAGACGUGGAGGCAAAGUGAGCAGUUGCCAUUUUGGAUCAGUUUGGCCCUUGUGGAUGUUCCAUGCAACGUGGGAGAAUGUGUGAUGACUGGUGUGGGCUUGGCUGGUGGCUUGUCAAAACUGUCAACGCUGGUGAGCAAGAGAGUUGUGAAAAGAAACAAGCACAGAUAAGUAAGGAGAGACAGAGCUGUGAAGGCUUUGGAAAGUGAGGAUGAGAAGGUGGAAUUUAGAAUUCCCAUCACAA
Chelonoidis abingdonii (Abingdon island giant tortoise) is the source of this 511-nucleotide long non-coding RNA. RefSeq lists it as uncharacterized. The record is from RefSeq and is a predicted model, not a curated record. Lineage: Eukaryota; Metazoa; Chordata; Testudines; Testudinidae.